This is a non-coding RNA of Bos taurus (domestic cattle), 73 nucleotides long. The record is from Rfam. NCBI's taxonomy places the organism in Eukaryota, Metazoa, Chordata, Mammalia, Artiodactyla, Bovidae.
UCCCUGGUGGCUCAAUUGGUAAAGAAUCUGCCUGCAAUGCAGGAGACCCCAGUUCGAUUUCUGGGUUGGGAAG